This 148-nucleotide non-coding RNA is filed under the name Gorilla gorilla gorilla (western lowland gorilla). The record is from Rfam by way of RNAcentral. Lineage: Eukaryota; Metazoa; Chordata; Mammalia; Primates; Hominidae.
GCCAGGAGUGGUGGCACACACCUGUAUUCCCAGCUACUCUGGAGGCUGAGGUGGGAGGAUCACAUGAGCCCAGGAGGCUGAGGCUGCAGUGAGCCAUGAUUGGACCACUGCACUCCAGCCUGAGCAACAGAGUGAGACCCCGUCUCAA